AGAACUGCUCCAUUACCCACAAGGUGUUUACACCCACAGAACUGCUCCUUUCAUCCACAGAACUGCUCCUUCACCAACAAGUUGUUUACACCCACAGAACUGCUCCUUCAUCCACAAGGUGUUUACACCCACAGAACUGCUCCUUCACCCACAGAACUGCUCCUUCAUCCACAGAACUGCUCCUUCACCCACAGAACUGCUCCUUCACCCACAGAACUGCUCCUUCAUCCACAGAACUGCUCCUUCACCCACAGAACUGCUCCUUCACCAACAAGGUGUUUACACCCACAGAACUGCUCCUUCAUCCACAGAACUGCUCCAUCACCCACAA
Molecule: long non-coding RNA, 331 nt
Organism: Ictalurus punctatus (channel catfish)
Lineage: Eukaryota; Metazoa; Chordata; Actinopteri; Siluriformes; Ictaluridae
Source: Ensembl